This 497-nucleotide ribosomal RNA is filed under the name uncultured bacterium. Its description in RNAcentral is "partial 16S ribosomal RNA". It matches the Rfam family "Bacterial small subunit ribosomal RNA", at positions 28 to 507 of the family's 1533-position model. The record is from RNAcentral.
GACGAACGCUGGCGGCGUGCUUAACACAUGCAAGUCGAACGGUGAAGCGCCUUCCUUUUUGGUGGGUGUGGAUGAGUGGCGAACGGGUGAGUAACACGUUAGUAACCUGCCCCCUUCUUCUGGAUAACCGCAUGAAAGUGUGGCUACUACGGGAUAUUCUGGGUCUGUCGCAUGAUUGGUCUGGGAAGGAUAUUGUUUCGGUUGGAGAUGGGCUCGCGGCGCAUUAGCUUGUUGGUGGGGUGAUGGCGUACCAAGGCGGCGAUGGGUAGCCGGCCUGAGAGGAUGGUGGGCGACCCCACAGCGAAUGCGCGACCGAGAAGACUACGACGGGAAGCAGCAGUGGGUAAUACUGAAUAGUGGGAGGAAGGCUGAUGCAGCGCCGCCGCGUGAGGGAUGGAGGCCGUCGGGUUGUGAACUUCUUUCGCGAGUGAAGCAGGCCUGCCUUGUUUGUGGGUGGGUUGACGGUAGCUGGACAAGAAGCGCCGGCUAACUACGUG